GACGAACGCUGGCGGCGUGCCUAAUACAUGCAAGUUGAGCGAUGAAGAUUGGUGCUUGCACCAAUUUGAAGAGCAGCGAACGGGUGAGUAACGCGUGGGGAAUCUGCCUUUGAGCGGGGGACAACAUUUGGAAACGAAUGCUAAUACCGCAUAACAACUUUAAACAUAAGUUUUAAGUUUGAAAGAUGCAAUUGCAUCACUCAAAGAUGAUCCCGCGUUGUAUUAGCUAGUUGGUGAGGUAAAGGCUCACCAAGGCGAUGAUACAUAGCCGACCUGAGAGGGUGAUCGGCCAAAUUGGGAAUGAGACACGGCCCAAACUCCUACGGGAGGCAGCAGUAGGGAAUCUUCGGCAAUGGACGAAAGUCUGACCGAGCAACGCCGCGUGAGUGAAGAAGGUUUUCGGAUCGUAAAACUCUGUUGGUAGAGAAGAACGUUGGUGAGAGUGGAAAGCUCAUCAAGUGACGGUAACUACCCAGAAAGGGACGGCUAACUACGUG
RNAcentral lists this ribosomal RNA (497 nucleotides) under uncultured bacterium. RNAcentral's name for it is "partial 16S ribosomal RNA". It matches the Rfam family "Bacterial small subunit ribosomal RNA", at positions 28 to 507 of the family's 1533-position model. The record is from RNAcentral.